This 477-nucleotide ribosomal RNA is filed under the name Candidatus Brocadia fulgida. RNAcentral's name for it is "bacterial SSU rRNA". It matches the Rfam family "Bacterial small subunit ribosomal RNA", at positions 365 to 832 of the family's 1533-position model. Lineage: Bacteria; Pseudomonadati; Planctomycetota; Candidatus Brocadiia; Candidatus Brocadiales; Candidatus Brocadiaceae. The record is from RNAcentral.
UUCGCAAUGCCCGAAAGGGUGACGAAGCGACGCCGCGUGCGGGAAGAAGGCCUUCGGGUUGUAAACCGCUGUCGGGAGUUAAGAAAUGUAAGGAUGUUAAUAGCAUCUUUGCUUGACUAAGGCUCCGGAGGAAGCCACUGCUAACUCUGUGCCAGCAGCCGCGGUAAUACAGAGGCGGCAAGCGUUGUUCGGAAUUAUUGGGCGUAAAGAGCACGUAGGCGGCUAUGUAAGUCGGUUGUGAAAGCCUUCCGCUCAACGGGAGAACAGCAUCCGAUACUGCAUGGCUUGAGUGCGGGAGGGGAGAGUGGAACUUCUGGUGGAGCGGUGAAAUGCGUAGAUAUCAGAAGGAACGCCGGCGGCGAAAGCGGCUCUCUGGCCCAUAACUGACGCUGAGUGUGCGAAAGCUAGGGGAGCAAACGGGAUUAGAUACCCCGGUAGUCCUAGCCGUAAACGAUGGGCACUAAGUAGAGGGGUUUU